GGGAUACGCCGCAUCCUUGCAGAGCGCGAACCUCAGUCCACCCCAGGGUAUUACACAGUGGGCUAUAACACUCCCGAGGGAGCCACAUUCCCAAAGCCUUUAUCCCCCGGGGCGAACUGAUGCUGGCCUGGGCAGGCAGAGUGCACCGCGGAGAACCACGGAUGAUCAACCUGCCCAAGUCUGGUCAUGAACGCUUCCCUUUCAACAAUUUCACGUACUUUUUAACCCUCUUUUCAAAGUGCUUUUCAUCUUUCGAUCACUCUACUUGUGCGCUAUCGGUCUCUGGCCGGUAUUUAGCUUUAGAAGACGUAUACCUCCCAUUUAGAGCAGCAUUCCCAAACUACUCGACUCGUCGAAGGAGUUUCACAGAGGCUAGGCAUCCAACCGUACGGGGCUCUCACCCUCUAUGGCGUCCCGUUCCAGGGAACUCGGAAGGCACGUCGCCAGAAACAUCCUCUACAAAUUACAACUCGGGCUUGCGCCAGAUUUCAAAUUUGAGCUGUUGCCGCUUCACUCGCCGUUACUAGGGCAAUCCCUGUUGGUUUCUUUUCCUCCGCUUAUUGAUAUGCUUAAGUUCAGCGGGUAUUCCUACCUGAUCUGAGGUCAACCUUGGAAAGUUGGGGGUUUAACGGCAGGGGCUCGUCGCUCUCCGAUGCGGAAUAUCACUACUUCGCAGAGGAGGCCACGACGGGUCCGCCACUAGAUUUAGGGGCCGGCCGUCCCUCGCGGGCUUUGGCCGAUCCCCAACACCACGCCCUAGGGGCAUGAGGGUUGAAAUGACGCUCAGACAGGCAUGCCCGCCAGAAUACUGGCGGGCGCAAUGUGCGUUCAAAGAUUCGAUGAUUCACUGAAUUCUGCAAUUCACAUUACUUAUCGCAUUUCGCUGCGUUCUUCAUCGAUGCCAGAACCAAGAGAUCCGUUGUUGAAAGUUUUUAUUUAUUUGUAAAAACUACUCAGAAGAUUCCAAAAUAAAACAAGAGUUAAGGUUCCUAGGCGGGCGCCUGAUCCGGGGCACACGAAGCGCCCGGGGCAAUCCCGCCGAAGCAACAGUAGGUAUGUUCACAUGGGUUUGGAAGUUGUAAACUCGGUAAUGAUCCCUCCCAGGUUUCUCCUUACGGAAAACCCC
Molecule: unclassified non-coding RNA, 1126 nt
Filed under: uncultured fungus
Lineage: Eukaryota; Fungi
Description: sequence contains ITS1, ITS2
Source: RNAcentral